Molecule: transfer RNA, 77 nt
Filed under: Parendozoicomonas haliclonae
Lineage: Bacteria; Pseudomonadati; Pseudomonadota; Gammaproteobacteria; Oceanospirillales; Endozoicomonadaceae
Description: tRNA-Arg(ccg)
Rfam family: tRNA
About the family: Transfer RNA (tRNA) molecules are approximately 80 nucleotides in length. Their secondary structure includes four short double-helical elements and three loops (D, anti-codon, and T loops). Further hydrogen bonds mediate the characteristic L-shaped molecular structure. tRNAs have two regions of fundamental functional importance: the anti-codon, which is responsible for specific mRNA codon recognition, and the 3' end, to which the tRNAs corresponding amino acid is attached (by aminoacyl-tRNA synthetases). tRNAs cope with the degeneracy of the genetic code in two manners: having more than one tRNA (with a specific anti-codon) for a particular amino acid; and 'wobble' base-pairing, i.e. permitting non-standard base-pairing at the 3rd anti-codon position.
Source: RNAcentral
GCACCCAUAGCUCAGCUGGAUAGAGCGCUGCCCUCCGGAGGCAGAGGUCAGAGGUUCGAAUCCUCUUGGGUGCGCCA